GAUGAACGCUAGCGGGAGGCCUAACACAUGCAAGCCGAGCGGUAUUGUUUCUUCGGAAAUGAGAGAGCGGCGUACGGGUGCGUAACACGUGUGCGACCUGCCUUUAUCUGGGGGAUAGCCUUUCGAAAGGAAGAUUAAUACUCCAUAAUAUAUUGAACGGCAUCGUUUAAUAUUGAAAGCUCCGGCGGAUAGAGAUGGGCACGCGCAAGAUUAGCUAGUUGGUGAGGUAACGGCUCACCAAGGCGAUGAUCUUUAGGGGGCCUGAGAGGUGUGAUCCCCCACACUGGUACUGAGACACGGACCAGACUCCUACGGGAGGCAGCAGUGAGGAAUAUUGGUCAAUGGGUGCAAGCCUGAACCAGCCAUCCCGCGUGAAGGACGACUGCCCUAUGGGUUGUAAACUUCUUUUGUAUAGGGAUAAACCUACCCUCGUGAGGGUAGCUGAAGGUACUAUACGAAUAAGCACCGGCUAACUCCGUGCCAGCAGCCGCCGCCG
RNAcentral lists this ribosomal RNA (496 nucleotides) under uncultured bacterium. RNAcentral's name for it is "partial 16S ribosomal RNA". It matches the Rfam family "Bacterial small subunit ribosomal RNA", at positions 28 to 523 of the family's 1533-position model. The record is from RNAcentral.